This 857-nucleotide long non-coding RNA is filed under the name Citrus maxima (pomelo). RNAcentral's name for it is "long non-coding RNA (CMAX_LNC002610)". Lineage: Eukaryota; Viridiplantae; Streptophyta; Magnoliopsida; Sapindales; Rutaceae. The record is from RNAcentral.
CGACGCCGUUGAUUAACCCAAAUGCUUUAGAUCUGUGAGAUUUCAAAUAAAUCAACGGCGAGAUCAGACCACACCUAAAUGCGCAUAAGACACGAAGACAAACGCGAGACUAUAAGCACAGCACGUCUCUAACAGCCACUGAAGGAGGAUCGAAAGGCCGAGAUUUCGCCUUUAAAAUAACAACUUUGAGAAAAUGACUCAACGCUAAAACUGCCAUGACUCACUCAAUUGAAAUGAAUCCUAGUUUUGAGUUUUGAAGAUAUCGAGCUAGGAGCUGAGCGAGAGAAAUCAAUUGAAGCGAUAUUGUUGGUUUUACUCUGGUUCAUGUACUGGAGAAGCUUUUUGGUACAGUAGCAGUAGCCUUGGAGUCUCUGUUUUUGUUUUUGGAAAAUAUUUUUAUUGUUUAAUUUUGGUGUUUUAAAAUUAUUUUUAUUUAUAUUUUGCUUUUCUUUACUUUUGAUGUGAGCAGCGAAGAAGCGCACAGGCACAGGCUCUUUAAUUGUGGCAGCGUGCGCCGUUAACGGAAAAGAACAAAUUAAAUUAACGGCACCAACACCAAAAGGGAGAAAAAGUCGUCGCUGCUUCGGCAGUUCAGGUGCUUGCAGUGAGUGAGUGGAUACGCUGAAGUGGUACCAUGUAUUUAUUCCGUGGACAGCCAAGAAUCUAAUAUCUAGGCCGUCCGAUGUUGCCGGCAGUAGAACAUAUACUUUUCCUUAAAAAAUAUAAAAAUUAAUCGGAUGAUAGAAAAGAAAAGAAAGCAAAUCUGCUAAAUAAAGACGUUAUCGCCUUGUCAUGCCCCCAGUUGAGACCACGUAAUAAUAAUAACAAUAAUAGUGAUACGAUUUUGGCAUGUUUUG